RNAcentral lists this ribosomal RNA (253 nucleotides) under uncultured bacterium. Its description in RNAcentral is "partial 16S ribosomal RNA". It matches the Rfam family "Bacterial small subunit ribosomal RNA", at positions 524 to 776 of the family's 1533-position model. The record is from RNAcentral.
UACGAGGGGGGCGAGCGUUGCUCGGAAUUACUGGGCGUAAAGGGCGCGUAGGCGGACAGUUUAGUCAGAGGUGAAAGCCCAGGGCUCAACCUUGGAAUUGCCUUUGAUACUGGCUGUCUUGAGUUCGGGAGAGGUGAGUGGAAUGCCGAGUGUAGAGGUGAAAUUCGUAGAUAUUCGGCGGAACACCAGUGGCGAAGGCGACUCACUGGCCCGAUACUGACGCUGAGGCGCGAAAGCGUGGGGAGCAAACAGG